Long non-coding RNA from Salarias fasciatus (jewelled blenny), 87 nucleotides. RefSeq lists it as uncharacterized. The transcript is spliced from 2 exons. The record is from RefSeq and is a predicted model, not a curated record. NCBI's taxonomy places the organism in Eukaryota, Metazoa, Chordata, Actinopteri, Blenniiformes, Blenniidae.
UGGAGGAAAUGAGAGAGGGGAGAGGAAAGAAAAAAAAGCCUCCGAUGCACAAGCAGGCUACAGUGCAGCGCAGUGGAAAUAAAAAAA